This 72-nucleotide transfer RNA is filed under the name Sus scrofa (pig). It matches the Rfam family "tRNA". From Rfam's summary of the family: Transfer RNA (tRNA) molecules are approximately 80 nucleotides in length. Their secondary structure includes four short double-helical elements and three loops (D, anti-codon, and T loops). Lineage: Eukaryota; Metazoa; Chordata; Mammalia; Artiodactyla; Suidae. The record is from Rfam by way of RNAcentral.
UCCCUGGUGGCCUAGGGGUUAAGGCUCAGAGUUUUCAUUGCUGUAGCCCAGGUUCAAUCCCUGGUCUGGAAA